Pelobates cultripes (western spadefoot toad) is the source of this 206-nucleotide non-coding RNA. Lineage: Eukaryota; Metazoa; Chordata; Amphibia; Anura; Pelobatidae. The record is from the annotation of a GenBank genome assembly.
GCAAGAUAAUGCAUCUUGGACUUAAAAACCCAAGGGCAGAGUACAGAAUAUUUGAUAGAGUCCUAACCUCAACAUCUGAGGAAAGGGAUUUAGGGGUGAUUAUUUCUGAUGACUUAAAGGUAGGCAGACAAUGUAAUAGAGCAGCAGGAAAUGCUAGCAGAAUGCUUGGUUGUAUAGGGAGAGGUAUUAGCAGUAGAAAGAGGGAA